This 579-nucleotide ribosomal RNA is filed under the name uncultured Alphaproteobacteria bacterium. RNAcentral's name for it is "bacterial SSU rRNA". It matches the Rfam family "Bacterial small subunit ribosomal RNA", at positions 802 to 1382 of the family's 1533-position model. Lineage: Bacteria; Pseudomonadati; Pseudomonadota; Alphaproteobacteria. The record is from RNAcentral.
GUAAACGAUGUGUGUUAGACGUUGGAAAUUUAUUUUCAGUGUCGCAGCGAAAGCGAUAAACACACCGCCUGGGGAGUACGACCGCAAGGUUAAAACUCAAAUGAAUUGACGGGGACCCGCACAAGUAGUGGAGCAUGUGGUUUAAUUCGAAGAUACGCGCAGAACCUUACCAACACUUGACAUGUUCGUCGCGACUUUAAGAGAUUAAAGUUUUCGGUUCGGCCGGACGAAACACAGGUGCUGCAUGGCUGUCGUCAGCUCGUGUCGUGAGAUGUUGGGUUAAGUCCCGCAACGAGCGCAACCCUCACUUUUAGUUGCCAUCAUUAAGUUGGGCACUCUGAAAGAACUGCCAGUGAUAAGCUGGAGGAAGGUGGGGAUGACGUCAAGUCCUCAUGGCCCUUACGUGUUGGGCUACACACGUGCUACAAUGGUAUCUACAACAGGAAGCAAGACGGCGACGUUAAGCAAAUCCUUAAAAGAUACCUCAGUUCGGAUUGCACUCUGCAACUCGAGUGCAUGAAGCUGGAAUUACUAGUAAUCGUGGAUCAGCGUGCCACGGUGAAUGCGUUCCCGGGUCUU